Molecule: long non-coding RNA, 775 nt
Organism: Gopherus flavomarginatus (Mexican gopher tortoise)
Lineage: Eukaryota; Metazoa; Chordata; Testudines; Testudinidae
Exons: 4
Source: RefSeq, a predicted model, not a curated record
CCCCUGCAAGCAGGUCUCCUUCCCAGCGGUUUGCUCCGGUGUUCCCCGAACCCCCGUGCAAGCAGGUCUCCUUCCCAGCGGUUUGCUCUGGUGUUUUUUGAACCCCCGUGCAAGCAGAUCUCCUUCCCCGCGGUGUGCUGUCGCGUUCCCCGAACCCCCGUGCAAGCAGGUCUCCUUCCCAGCGGUUUGCUCCGGUGUUCCCCGAACCUCCCUGCAAGCAGGUCUCCUUCCCAGCGGUUUGCUCCGGUGUUCCCCGAACCCCCGUGCAAGCAGGUCUCCUUCCCAGCGGUUUGCUCCGGUGUUUUUUGAACCCCCGUGCAAGCAGAUCUCCUUCCCCGCGGUGUGCUGUCGCGUUCCCCGAACCCCUCUGCAAACCGCGGGGAAGGAGAUCUGCUUGCACGGGGGUUAGGGGAACGCGAGAGCAAACCGCGGGGAAGGAGACCUGCUUCCCCGCGGUUUGCUCUCGCGUUCCCCGAACCCCCCUGCAAACCGCGGGGAAGGAGACCUGCUUGAUUACCAGAGAGGCUUCCUCUGGUAAGCUGGGAUACCUGUUUAUUCCAUGGAGGUCAAGAAAAACGCUGGUGAGUGUUUACACCUGAUGACCAGCGCUGGAUCACCAGCGCUGGAUCCUCUACACCCGAGUUUCAACGGGUGUACGGCCAGCGCUGCAAACAGGGAGUUGCAGCGCUGGUGAUGCCCUGCAGAUGUGUACACCUCCUAAGUUGCAGCGCUAUAACUCCCUCACCAGCGCUGCAACUUUGUGGUGUAGACAAGG